Molecule: ribosomal RNA, 460 nt
Filed under: uncultured bacterium
Lineage: Bacteria
Description: partial 16S ribosomal RNA
Rfam family: Bacterial small subunit ribosomal RNA
Source: RNAcentral
CCUACGGGCGGCAGCAGUGAGGAAUAUUGGUCAAUGGCCGGAAGGCUGAACCAGCCAUGCCGCGUGAAGGUCAGUGCCCUAUGGGCGUUAAACUUCUUUUGUGCGGGAGAAAUAAUGGUCACGUGUGGCCAGACGAGAGUACCGUACGAAUAAGCAUCGGCUAACUCCGUGCCAGCAGCCGCGGUAAUACGGGGGAUGCAAGCGUUAUCCGGAUUUAUUGGGUCUAAAGGGUGCGUAGGCUGUGAGGUAAGUCAGCGGUGAAAUGCCCCCGCUCAACGGGGUGAAGUGCCAUUGAUACUGCCUGGCUUGAAUGCGGAUGCCGUGGGAGGAAUGUGUGGUGUAGCGGUGAAAUGCAUAGAUAUCACACAGAACACCGAUUGCGAAGGCAUCUCACGAAUCCGCGAUUGACGCUGAUGCACGAAAGCGUGGGUAUCAAACAGGAUUAGAUACCCUUGUAGUC